CGUGUAGGUGGUUAGGAAAGUUGGAUGUGAAAGCCCUGGGCUCAACCCAGGAAGUGCAUCCAAAACUGCUUAGCUAGAGGGCGAGAGAGGGAGGUGGAAUCCCUAGUGUAGAGGUGAAAUUCGUAGAUAUUAGGAGGAAUACCGGUGGCGAAGGCGGCCUCCUGGAUCGAUUCUGACACUGAGACGCGAAAGCGUGGGGAGCAAACA
Molecule: ribosomal RNA, 207 nt
Filed under: uncultured bacterium
Lineage: Bacteria
Description: partial 16S ribosomal RNA
Rfam family: Bacterial small subunit ribosomal RNA
Source: RNAcentral